AUUGAACGCUGGCGGCAGGCCUAACACAUGCAAGUCGAGCGGUAACACAGAGAGCUUGCUCUCAAGAAGUUAGCGGCGGACGGGUGAGUAACACGUGGGUAACCUGCCCAUAAGACUGGGAUAACUCCGGGAAACCGGGGCUAAUACCGGAUAACAUUUUGAACUGCAUGGUUCGAAAUUGAAAGGCGGCUUCGGCUGUCACUUAUGGAUGGACCCGCGUCGCAUUAGCUAGUUGGUGAGGUAACGGCUCACCAAGGCAACGAUGCGUAGCCGACCUGAGAGGGUGAUCGGCCACACUGGGACUGAGACACGGCCCAGACUCCUACGGGAGGCAGCAGUAGGGAAUCUUCCGCAAUGGACGAAAGUCUGACGGAGCAACGCCGCGUGAGUGAUGAAGGCUUUCGGGUCGUAAAACUCUGUUGUUAGGGAAGAACAAGUGCUAGUUGAAUAAGCUGGCACCUUGACGGUACCUAACCAGAAAGCCACGGCUAACUACGUGCCAGCCGCCGCAGUAAAAC
RNAcentral lists this ribosomal RNA (518 nucleotides) under uncultured bacterium. RNAcentral's name for it is "bacterial SSU rRNA". It matches the Rfam family "Bacterial small subunit ribosomal RNA", at positions 30 to 526 of the family's 1533-position model. The record is from RNAcentral.